CAAUAGCGUAUAUUUAAGUUGUUGCAGUUAAAAAGCUCGUAGUUGGAUUUCGGUUGAGAACGGCCGGUCCGCCGUUUGGUGUGCACUGGCUGGUUUCAACUUCCUGUAGAGGACGCGCUCUGGCUUCACGGCUGGACGCGGAGUCUACGUGGUUACUUUGAAAAAAUUAGAGUGUUCAAAGCGGGCUUACGCUUGAAUAUUUCAGCAUGGAAUAACACUAUAGGACUCCUGUCCUAUUUCGUUGGUCUCGGGACGGGAGUAAUGAUUAAGAGGAACAGUUGGGGGCAUUCGUAUUUCAUUGUCAGAGGUGAAAUUCUUGGAUUUAUGAAAGACGAACUUCUGCGAAAGCAUUUGCCAAGGAUGUUUNCAUUA
This 372-nucleotide ribosomal RNA is filed under the name uncultured eukaryote. Its description in RNAcentral is "partial 18S ribosomal RNA". It matches the Rfam family "Eukaryotic small subunit ribosomal RNA", at positions 592 to 975 of the family's 1831-position model. The record is from RNAcentral.